Thalassophryne amazonica is the source of this 95-nucleotide long non-coding RNA. RefSeq lists it as uncharacterized. The transcript is spliced from 4 exons. The record is from RefSeq and is a predicted model, not a curated record. NCBI's taxonomy places the organism in Eukaryota, Metazoa, Chordata, Actinopteri, Batrachoidiformes, Batrachoididae.
AGUUUCAUCCCAUUUUUGCACUUUUCUGGAUUGUGGGCAAUCGUAGUAGAAUGGCACCCUGUGGAAUAGACCCAUUAUCCUGAGGCAGCCGAAAG